Molecule: ribosomal RNA, 463 nt
Filed under: uncultured bacterium
Lineage: Bacteria
Description: partial 16S ribosomal RNA
Rfam family: Bacterial small subunit ribosomal RNA
Source: RNAcentral
GAUGAACGCUGACAGAAUGCUUAACACAUGCAAGUCUUUGGCGAAGCUGUGCUUGCACAGCCUAGCCAAGGCGGACGGGUGAGUAACGCGUAAGGAACUUGCCCUGCAGUCAGGGAUAACAGACGGAAACGACUGAUAAGACCUGGUAAAGUCAGGCGGACUCAUGUCCAGCCUGAUGAAAAGAGAUGCUGCAGGAGAGCCUUGCGUCCUAUUAGCUUGUUGGUGGGGUAACGGCCCACCAAGGCGAUGAUAGGUAGCCGGCCUGAGAGGGUGGACGGCCACAAGGGGACUGAGAUACGGCGCUUACUCCUACGGGAGGCAGCAGUGGGGAAUAUUGGACAAUGGGGGCAACACUGAUCCAGCAAUUCUGUGUGCACGAUGAAGGUUUUCGGAUUGUAAAGGGCUUUCAGCAGGGAAGAAAAAAAUGACGGUACCGGCAGAAGAAGCGACGGCUAAAUACGUG